GUAGUUGUAGCUCAGUGGUAGAGUGCUUACCUAGCAUGUGUGAGGCACUGGGUUCGAUCCUCAGCACAACA
Molecule: transfer RNA, 71 nt
Filed under: Marmota marmota marmota (Alpine marmot)
Lineage: Eukaryota; Metazoa; Chordata; Mammalia; Rodentia; Sciuridae
Also listed under: 2 other names
Rfam family: tRNA
About the family: Transfer RNA (tRNA) molecules are approximately 80 nucleotides in length. Their secondary structure includes four short double-helical elements and three loops (D, anti-codon, and T loops).
Source: Rfam by way of RNAcentral